RNAcentral lists this ribosomal RNA (1526 nucleotides) under metagenome. RNAcentral's name for it is "bacterial SSU rRNA". It matches the Rfam family "Bacterial small subunit ribosomal RNA". The record is from RNAcentral.
AGAGUUUGAUUCUGGCUCAGAACGAACGCUGGCAGCGUGGAUUAGGCAUGCAAGUCGAACGAGAAGCUGGAGAUUCAAUCCCUCGGGAGAGAAUCAUCAGUGGAUAAUGGCGGAAGGGUGAGUAACGCGUGGGCAAUCUGCCCUCAAGUUGGGGAUAACUUCGCGAAAGCGGAGCUAAUACCGAAUGUGAACUUUCCAGGCAUCUGGAAAGUUCAAAGGUGGGGACCUUUAGGGGCCUAUCGCUUGGGGAGGAGCCCGCGUCCUAUCAGCUUGUUGGUGAGGUAAUGGCUCACCAAGGCUUACGGGUAGCUGGUCUGAGAGGAUGGUCAGCCACACUGGGACUGAGACACUGCCCAGACUCCUACGGGAGGCUGCAGUCGAGGAUCAUUCGCAAUGCGCGAAAGCGUGACGAUGCGACGCUGCGUGGAGGAUGACGGCCUUAGGGUUGUAAACUCCUGUCAUUCAGGAACAAUUGUUCCGGUGUUAAUAGCACCGGAAUUUGAUGGUACUGGAAGAGGAAGCCACGGCUAACUCUGUGCCAGCAGCCGCGGUAACACAGAGGUGGCAAGCGUUGUUCGGAUUUACUGGGCGUAAAGGGUGCGUAGGCGGUUACUGCAUGUCGGAUGUGAAAUGCUAUCGCUCAACGAUAGGAGUGCAUUCGAAACUGCGUAACUAGAGGACAGGAUAGGAGAGCGGAAUUCUUGGUGUAGCGGUGGAAUGCGUUGAUAUCAAGAGGAACACCGGUGGCGAAGGCGGCUCUCUGGAAUGUUACUGACGCUGAGGCACGAAAGUUGGGGUAGCAAACAGGAUUAGAUACCCUGGUAGUCCCAACCGUAAAUGGUGUGCACUUGGUGUUGGGGGAUUUGACCCCCUCAGUGCCGGAGCUAACGCGUUAAGUGCACCGCCUGGGGAGUACGGCCGCAAGGCUAAAACUCAAAGAAAUUGACGGGGGCCCGCACAAGCGGAGGAGCAUGUGGCUCAAUUCGAUGCAACGCGAAGAACCUUACCAGGGCUUGACAUGCAGCUGCAGACCUCCCGAAAGGGAGGAGGCCUUUGAGGGUGCUGCACAGGUGCUGCAUGGCUGUCGUCAGUUCGUGCCGUGAGGUGUUGGGUUAAGUCCCGCAACGAACGCAACCCCUGUACCUAGUUGCCACCCCAGAUGAUGAAUUUGGGAGCACUCUAUGUAGACUGCCCGUGCAAGCGGGAGGAAGGUGGGGAUGACGUCAAGUCAGUAUGGCCCUUACGCCCUGGGCUGCACACGUGCUACAAUGGCCGGUACAAUGGGACGCAAUACCGCGAGGUGGAGCAAAUCCCCAAAGCCGGCCCCAGUUCGGAUUGGAGUCUGCAAUUCGACUCCAUGAGGUUGGAUUCGCUAGUAAUGGCGCAUCAGCUACGGCGCCGUGAAUACGUUCCCGGGCCUUGUACACACCGCCCGUCACAUCAUGAAAGCUCUCUGCACCCGAAGCCGCUGUACCAACUCGCAUCUCGUGAGAGGAAGGCGCCGAAGGUGUGGGGGGUGAUUGGGA